CUACGGGACGCUCCAGUGAGGAAUAUUGCACAAUGGGGGGAACCCUGAUGCAGCAACGCCGCGUGGAGGAUGACGCAUUUCGGUGUGUAAACUCCUUUUAUAUGUCAAGAAAAUGACGGUAGCAUAUGAAUAAGCACCGGCUAACUCCGUGCCAGCAGCCGCGGUAAUACGGAGGGUGCAGGCGUUACUCGGAAUCACUGGGCGUAAAGGACGCGUAGGCGGGUUGGAAAGUCAGGUGUGAAAUCCUACAGCUUAACUGUAGAACUGCACUUGAAACUUCUAAUCUAGAGUAUGGGAGGGGGAGAUGGAAUUAGUGGUGUAGGGGUAAAAUCCGUAGAUAUCACUAGGAAUACCUAAAGCGAAGGCGAUCUCCUGGAACAUUACUGACGCUAAGGCGUGCAAGCGUGGGGAGCAAACAGGAUUAGAUACCCUUGUAGUC
Molecule: ribosomal RNA, 439 nt
Filed under: uncultured bacterium
Lineage: Bacteria
Description: partial 16S ribosomal RNA
Rfam family: Bacterial small subunit ribosomal RNA
Source: RNAcentral